GCACAAGCGGUGGAGCAUGUGGUUUAAUUCGAAGCAACGCGAAGAACCUUACCAGGUCUUGACAUCCCGAUGCUAUUUCUAGAGAUAGAGGCGUGCUCGAAAGAGAGCCGUAACACAGGGUGCUGCAUGGCUGUCGUCGGCUCGUGUCGUGAGGUGUUGGGUUAAGUCCCGCAACGAGCGCAACCCUUGUCAUUAGUUGCUACAUUCAGUUGGGCACUCUAAUGAGACUGCCGGUGACAAGCCGGAGGAAGGUGGGGAUGACGUCAAGUCCUCAUGGCCCUUAUAGGUGGGGCUACACACGUCAUACAAUGGCUGGUACAAAGGGUUGCCAACCCGCGAGGGGGAGCUAAUCCCAUAAAGCCAGUCGUAGUCCGGAUCGUAGUCUGCAACUCGACUACGUGAAGUCGGAAUCGCUAGUAAUCGUGGAUCAGAAUGUCACGGUGAAUACGUUCCCGGGUCUU
Molecule: ribosomal RNA, 461 nt
Filed under: uncultured Rhodoferax sp.
Lineage: Bacteria; Pseudomonadati; Pseudomonadota; Betaproteobacteria; Burkholderiales; Comamonadaceae
Description: bacterial SSU rRNA
Rfam family: Bacterial small subunit ribosomal RNA
Source: RNAcentral